RNAcentral lists this long non-coding RNA (1431 nucleotides) under Daphnia pulicaria. RNAcentral describes it as "uncharacterized LOC124326687, transcript variant X14". The record is from RNAcentral. Lineage: Eukaryota; Metazoa; Arthropoda; Branchiopoda; Diplostraca; Daphniidae.
CUUGUCUCAGUGUCUGACACUGUAACCACCAAUAGUUUAUACUUAUACCCAUCUCUGUAUGCUGCAAUUCUACAUAACAAUCUGCAAUUCUAUGUUUCAUCAAGGCAUUGCAUAGCAUUAACAGAUCAAUUGGAUCAUGGGCAUUUAAGUUUUUACAUCAAGUUGCUGAAUAAGCAAGACCUUUUUUAAGGCAAGUGGGUGAAUACUUUGCGUAACCAGCUUCAGCUACAAACAUCAGCUUCACAGCCCAAUUUGUGGACAAAUGCAAAAGGUUCUCUCUUGACCAGUUAAUUGCUACUUCUGAAGCAGUUGAUGAUGAUGGUUAUCAAACAAACUAUAAUAGGGAUAUGUUCUAUCAUUUCCAUUCCCAAUAAAAAGCAUGCAGCAAACUUCUAAAUGCAAACAGAGUGAAAAAAAUGACAAGAAGCAAGAUUCUGUUUUAUUGGUUAUCAUCACAGAUUAUCUGUAAGUUAUGUUUUGACACAGAAUUUUGGGAAUGCAUCACAGACAGCAGUUUCAGGGCUAGGGGCUAUAAGGUCGACUAAGCUCUUUGUAUGUCAAUUCGUUGGCUGCUACCUGCUGGAUUUUCCCUCUUUGACUUUCUAAGAACGUACCUGCUCUUGAUUUGAAAUUUAUGCUGCGCCGCUAUUUAAUGAAUUAAUCCAGUAGGCGGAACCUGCCGAAAGAUCGGCAACGACUGUCGACUGACGGACGUGCUAUUAUUCUGCAAUACUGCUCACUUGCGUGCCAACUUUUCAUUGCCCCGAGGCAUGUGAGAGUUGAGCCUGCUCCAGCUACCCGGCCAGCAUCAUUUGUCUACACAGCCGACUGUACUACUACCCCAGCCCUCACCUAGCACGGAGUUUCUUGAGGGCGACGAGAUCAUGAUAUUGAUGAGGAGAAUAUGUUGUUUAAUUGUACAGCCCCGUAGCACAAUGCCAGAGUGUAUGUGGAGAUAAUGUGAAGUUGUGCCGGACAUGAUCCGGACAUGGGCCGGGCAAGCGGAUCGUGAGUCUCCCGAGGCUGAACUAUUUCAACAUUUUUUUUGAAACCUUAUUAGUCCACUUAAUUGAAUUUAUAAAAAUUUUCAGCUAAUUUAGUGAGUGUGAUUUUUCACACGGAUUUUAAAAUUUAUGAUUAUUAAAUGAUUUGUUCGUGUUUAAAAUUAACUUCCAAUCAUUAUAGUAUGUGCAACCACGGUUUAAUGGUUAUGGCACGCAGUGUAGUUAGUUAUUAAGUCUCUUGUCUCCUCCGGUGGUUUCCGGGUUCUAUUCCCCCUCCCUCCAUGGUUCCCUUUCGUGCUUGCAUAAAAUAAUCAUGUAUGUAAAACGGGACAGUAAAGAUAUUGUUUAACAUCUCAUAAUGGAAACCCCAGGAAAUGAAGUUGAGAAGGCAGAGAAGAAGUUAAAGGAUGCAAAAUUGGCUGUGAAG